ACUUAAGUAGUUUAGUUAAAAUAGAAAUUUGUGGUAUUUCAGAAGAUUAUUUCCUUAGGUU
Molecule: transfer RNA, 61 nt
Filed under: Centrotus cornutus
Lineage: Eukaryota; Metazoa; Arthropoda; Insecta; Hemiptera; Membracidae
Description: tRNA-His
Source: RNAcentral